RNAcentral lists this ribosomal RNA (515 nucleotides) under uncultured bacterium. RNAcentral's name for it is "partial 16S ribosomal RNA". It matches the Rfam family "Bacterial small subunit ribosomal RNA", at positions 28 to 523 of the family's 1533-position model. The record is from RNAcentral.
GAUGAACGCUGGCGGCGUGCCUAAUACAUGCAAGUCGAGCGAAUGGAUUAAGAGCUUGCUCUUAUGAAGUUAGCGGCGGACGGGUGAGUAACACGUGGGUAACCUGCCCAUAAGACUGGGAUAACUCCGGGAAACCGGGGCUAAUACCGGAUAACAUUUUGAACCGCAUGGUUCGAAAUUGAAAGGCGGCUUCGGCUGUCACUUAUGGAUGGACCCGCGUCGCAUUAGCAAGUUGGUGAGGUAACGGCUCACCAAGGCAACGAUGCGUAGCCGACGUGAGUGGGUGAUCGGCCACCCUGGGACUGAGAAACGGCCCAGACUCCUACGGGAGGCAGCAGUAGGGAAUCUUCCGCAAUGGACGAAAGUCUGACGGAGCAACGCCGCGUGAGUGAUGAAGGCUUUCGGGUCGUAAAACUCUGUUGUUAGGGAAGAACAAGUGCUAGUUGAAUAAGCUGGCACCUUGACGGUACCUAACCAGAAAGCCACGGCUAACUACGUGCCAGCCGCCGCAGUAA